Salvelinus sp. IW2-2015 is the source of this 1054-nucleotide long non-coding RNA. RefSeq lists it as uncharacterized. NCBI's taxonomy places the organism in Eukaryota, Metazoa, Chordata, Actinopteri, Salmoniformes, Salmonidae. The record is from RefSeq and is a predicted model, not a curated record.
GUAUGGGGUGCUGCUCUGGGAGAUCUUUACCCUGGGAGGGUCCCCGUACCCCGGCAUCCCUGUAGAGGAGCUGUUCAAACUGCUGAAGGAGGGCCACCGCAUGGACAAGCCUGCCAACUGCACACAUGAACUAUAUAUGAUCAUGAGGGAUGCUGGCACGCUGUUCCAUCUCAGAGGCCUACCUUCAGGCAGCUGGUGGAAAGCAUGACAGGGUUCUAUCCAUGACCUCCAUGGACGAUUACCUGGACCUGUCUGUUCUAACACUGUGUGUUGUGUUACAACAGGAUUACCUGGACCUGUCUGUUCCGUUUGAGCAGUACUCUCCAACCUGCCAAGACUCCAGCAGCACCUGUUCCUCAGGAGAUGACUCAGUGUUCUCCCACGACCCCCUCCCCACGACCCCCUCCCUGACCAACUCUGCCCUCCCACGACCCCCUUCUCACGACCCCCUCCCUGAACAACCCUGCCUCUCCAAAAUGAGGGGGGAAUAACCUAGUCAAACUGCUGCAGAUUUACAUGGCAAUCAGGACAUAGAUCUAUAGGUGGGGCUGGAUGGGGAGGGGGGGUUAACAUCUAGAGGGGGUACAACGAUCCCCUAAAGACAUCUGGGGAGGGGGACAAUCAGGGGGGGGGGGACUCCCCCGAGACACCUCUCAGCGUCAUACUUUGAGCCUCCUACAAUAUGGGAAAGAGAACAGCGCAUGCAGAACAUCCUCAAACGGACACAUGUUUUAGAAUCUUUGCAUUGAAAGUUGGACAUUUUUUUGCCGCCAAAACCUCUUUUUUCCCUUUUUAAAAUGAAAAUGUAUAUUUUUUGUACUUGGCCAGUCUUUAGUUAUUGAUCCGAAAGGUCAAACCAUUCAGUGCCUACAGGAACUCUAUCCCACAGGACUGAGGAGAUUGAAACAAGGACAUGGACACCAUUAACCAGGGAGGCAGGUAUCUAUAACGCCAUUGGCCAGGGGGCAGGGUAUCUAUAACGCCAUUGGCCAGGGGGGCAGGGUAUCUAUAACGCCAUUGGCCAGGGGGGCAGGGUAUCUAUAACGCCAUUGCC